Molecule: ribosomal RNA, 505 nt
Filed under: uncultured bacterium
Lineage: Bacteria
Description: partial 16S ribosomal RNA
Rfam family: Bacterial small subunit ribosomal RNA
Source: RNAcentral
GACGAACGCUGGCGGCGUGCCUAAUACAUGCAAGUAGAACGCACAGUUUAUACCGUAGCUUGCUCCACCAUAGACUGUGAGUUGCGAACGGGUGAGUAACGCGUAGGUAACCUGCCUGGUAGCGGGGGAUAACUAUUGGAAACGAUAGCUAAUACCGCAUAAUAUUGAUUAUUGCAUGAUAAUUAAUUGAAAGGUGCAAUUGCACCACUACCAGAUGGACCUGCGUUGUAUUAGCUAGUAGGUGAGGUAACGGCUCACCUAGGCGACGAUACAUAGCCGACCUGGGAGGGUGAUCGGCCACCCUGGGACUGAGACACGGCCCAGACUCCUACGGGAGGCAGCAGUAGGGAAGCUUCGGCAAUGGACGAAAGUCUGACCGAGCAACGCCGCGUGAGUGAAGAAGGUUUUCGGAUCGUAAAGCUCUGUUGUAAGAGAAGAACGGGUGUGAGAGUGGAAAGUUCACACUGUGACGGUAUCUUACCAGAAAGGGACGGCUAACUACGUG